Molecule: ribosomal RNA, 911 nt
Filed under: Pediococcus acidilactici
Lineage: Bacteria; Bacillati; Bacillota; Bacilli; Lactobacillales; Lactobacillaceae
Description: bacterial SSU rRNA
Rfam family: Bacterial small subunit ribosomal RNA
Source: RNAcentral
UAUACAUGCAAGUCGAACGAACUUCCGUUAAUUGAUUAUGGACGUGCUUGCACUGAAUGAGAUUUUAACACGAAGUGAGUGGCGGACGGGUGAGUAACACGUGGGUAACCUGCCCAGAAGCAGGGGAUAACACCUGGAAACAGAUGCUAAUACCGUAUAACAGAGAAAACCGCCUGGUUUUCUUUUAAAAGAUGGCUCUGCUAUCACUUCUGGAUGGACCCGCGGCGCAUUAGCUAGUUGGUGAGGUAACGGCUCACCAAGGCGAUGAUGCGUAGCCGACCUGAGAGGGUAAUCGGCCACAUUGGGACUGAGACACGGCCCAGACUCCUACGGGAGGCAGCAGUAGGGAAUCUUCCACAAUGGACGCAAGUCUGAUGGAGCAACGCCGCGUGAGUGAAGAAGGGUUUCGGCUCGUAAAGCUCUGUUGUUAAAGAAGAACGUGGGUGAGAGUAACUGUUCACCCAGUGACGGUAUUUAACCAGAAAGCCACGGCUAACUACGUGCCAGCAGCCGCGGUAAUACGUAGGUGGCAAGCGUUAUCCGGAUUUAUUGGGCGUAAAGCGAGCGCAGGCGGUCUUUUAAGUCUAAUGUGAAAGCCUUCGGCCCACCCGAAGAAGUGCAUUGAAAACUGGGAGACUUGAGUGCAGAAGAGGACAGUGGAACUCCAUGUGUAGCGGUGAAAUGCGUAGAUAUAUGGAAGAACACCAGUGGCGAAGGCGGCUGUCUGGUCUGUAACUGACGCUGAGGCUCGAAAGCAUGGUAGCGAACAGGAUUAGAUACCCUGGUAGUCCAUGCCGUAAACGAUGAUUACUAAGUGUUGGAGGGUUUCCGCCCUUCAGUGCUGCAGCUAACGCAUUAAGUAAUCCGCCUGGGGAGUACGACCGCAAGGUUGAACUCAAAGAUUGACGGGG